UACGUAGGGACCAAGCGUUGUUCGGAUUUACUGGGCGUAAAGGGUGCGUAGGCGGCCAUGUAAGUGAGAUGUGAAAUCCCUCGGCUCAACCGAGGAAGUGCAUUUCAUACUGCAUGGCUUGAGGGAGACAGGGGUAAGCGGAACUGAUGGUGGAGCGGUGAAAUGCGUUGAUAUCAUCAGGAACACCGGUGGCGAAAGCGGCUUACUGGGUCUCUUCUGACGCUGAGGUACGAAAGCUAGGGGAGCGAACGGG
This 253-nucleotide ribosomal RNA is filed under the name uncultured bacterium. RNAcentral describes it as "partial 16S ribosomal RNA". It matches the Rfam family "Bacterial small subunit ribosomal RNA", at positions 524 to 776 of the family's 1533-position model. The record is from RNAcentral.